This is an unclassified non-coding RNA of Macaca fascicularis (crab-eating macaque), 148 nucleotides long. It matches the Rfam family "Metazoan signal recognition particle RNA". Rfam says of the family: The signal recognition particle (SRP) is a universally conserved ribonucleoprotein. The record is from Ensembl. NCBI's taxonomy places the organism in Eukaryota, Metazoa, Chordata, Mammalia, Primates, Cercopithecidae.
GCCGGGAGCCGUGGCGGGCGCCUGUAAUCCCAGCUACUCAGGAGGCUGAGGCAGGAGAAUGGCUUGAAACCAGGAGUUGGAGGUUGCAGUGAGCCGAGAUCACACCACUGCACUCCAGCCUGGGUGACAGAGCGAGACUCUGACUCAA